Molecule: long non-coding RNA, 1185 nt
Filed under: Homo sapiens (human)
Lineage: Eukaryota; Metazoa; Chordata; Mammalia; Primates; Hominidae
Description: long intergenic non-protein coding RNA 1980
Source: RNAcentral
GGGUUCAUCUUCAUGAGGUGUAAUGGCGCCGGGAUGCGCUCUCCUCUUCUCAUUUGCCAAUUUAUUGCAGAUCCCUCCUCAAAAAAGUUUUGGGACUAACUCAGCCCCAUGGAGAUCAAGGUGAAUUAGAAAAACAACAAAACAAAACAAGAUUCAUUUUAACAUCUCAUUUUUCUAUCUCCAACUUUCCCUCCCCUCCUCCCACCCCAGGAAGAAAAGACUACGUUUGUUUCUGGUGAUACAUUCAUUGUAGGUGGGUGGGUGACUUCUAGAAGAGGAAAAUCAAGAAGAUUUGGAGAAGGAGUCUUGGAAGCUCUGGUGAAGUUUUCCAAAACUGGGAAGGACAGAGCCACAGGUCUGCCUGUUCUUUUGCUUUGCCAUUUGUGUGGAUACCUAGUAGAGCAAUUUGGGUGCCAUUCUUUGAGGAAUCCAUUGGAUCUGUCAGAAAGCUGAGUCUGCUCAGCCUGUGUUAGUGGAGAAGAGGGAAGGAAACUGGCUGGAGGCCGCUGGACCCACAGAGGACAAUAGACAAUCUCCUGCUUGGAAGAAAAAGAAAAUGAGACCCAGAAGACCCAAAUCACAAAUCAAAAGGACCUCACAGAAGAUUCUACAAUUGAGAUUAUUUAUCCUGGGAUGCCCACUGGAUCCAAAGAGAGAAACUCUAUAGAAUUAUGAUCUAGGUUUGACUGACUCCUGGCAAGAAGCCCUACCCGCCAGCCAAUUUGGAUGAGGAACACAGAAUCACUUGUGGAAUUAAGAGAUAAGGACAGCAAGUAGACCAAACUAUAAGCUGAGGUUCAAGGUGGCAUAGGCUGGGUGCCACAGUGCUGUGUCUCAGGUGGGCUAGAAGUGCGAAACGGACAGUACCAGAAGGAAAACUUGAGGGUCACAGGGGUCAUCCAUCUUUCCUUCUAUGUGACUGGUUUGCUCUUGCAUAUCAUGUUUUCCGCUCUUAUGCUCCAGAUCCAUCAUGAGAAGAACAUGCCCUGGAUUCCUGCUAUCCCUUUAGCCAUGGCUCCAAAAUUAACACACACAAGGAAGACCUGAGGUCAAUCCACAGCCUGGAUUCAAGUCACCUAAUACAUAGGAGAAUCAGAGCUACCCAGCCACACUCAAUCUACGUUAACUGAACCUCAGCUGACCUGCAGAUUUAUGAGUAUGAGAAUAAAGGCUUGUUAAUGUAUA